This 589-nucleotide small RNA is filed under the name Pan troglodytes (chimpanzee). RNAcentral's name for it is "processed transcript". The record is from RNAcentral. Lineage: Eukaryota; Metazoa; Chordata; Mammalia; Primates; Hominidae.
UUAGCUGUGGCGCGCGGGGCUCAGUCCGGCCUGGCCUCCCCGCCGGAGGCCCGAGCUCCCUCUUCAGCUAGGUCCUAUUGGUCUUCCUGGGCGGGUCAGCAUUCAGUCUUCGCCCACCUUAGAUCCCUCCACUGCGCUGUAAAACUGCCUUGGAGUGCGGAUCUGUGAUGCUCCUGGGCCAGGCCUAGAGUGGGCACAGCCUCUGUGGGAGAUGUAGACAGGAUCAAAGAGUAUACCUUUUACGGCUGUUCCUCACAGCUCCUUUUAUUCUCCCUCAAGUCCUGACCCUUUACUGGGCCCAUCCAACCCGCCAUCACCUCUUCCCAAACCCUGGAGGCUGCAGGUUAUCUGGGAACAAAGCAGGACAAGUCUGGGCACCUGAAGGAUCUACUGCUUUCAAGUGUCUGCUUUCAGCAAGGUUAUGUGCUGCUCUCCUGAGCAACAUCUCUGACUGUGAUGAAACAUUCAACUACUGGGAGCCAGUAGACACACUACCUCAUCUAUGGGGAAGGGUUUCAGACUUGGGAAUAUUCCCCAGCAUAUGCCAUUCGCUCCUAUGCUUACCUGUUGCUUCAUGCCUGGCCAGCUG